Molecule: transfer RNA, 78 nt
Filed under: Candidatus Karelsulcia muelleri str. Sulcia-ALF
Lineage: Bacteria; Pseudomonadati; Bacteroidota; Flavobacteriia; Flavobacteriales
Description: Candidatus Sulcia muelleri str. Sulcia-ALF tRNA-Asn
Rfam family: tRNA
About the family: Transfer RNA (tRNA) molecules are approximately 80 nucleotides in length. Their secondary structure includes four short double-helical elements and three loops (D, anti-codon, and T loops). Further hydrogen bonds mediate the characteristic L-shaped molecular structure. tRNAs have two regions of fundamental functional importance: the anti-codon, which is responsible for specific mRNA codon recognition, and the 3' end, to which the tRNAs corresponding amino acid is attached (by aminoacyl-tRNA synthetases). tRNAs cope with the degeneracy of the genetic code in two manners: having more than one tRNA (with a specific anti-codon) for a particular amino acid; and 'wobble' base-pairing, i.e. permitting non-standard base-pairing at the 3rd anti-codon position.
Source: RNAcentral
UCCUCAGUAGCUCAGUUUGGUUAGAGCACCUGACUGUUAAUCAGGGUGUCGCUGGUUCGAAUCCAGCCUGGGGAGCUA